RNAcentral lists this unclassified non-coding RNA (371 nucleotides) under Hevea brasiliensis (rubber tree). The record is from RNAcentral. Lineage: Eukaryota; Viridiplantae; Streptophyta; Magnoliopsida; Malpighiales; Euphorbiaceae.
UCAUCAAGAGCAAGCCUUAGAAGAGCUGGCUGCCUCCGGUUAUCACCUCCAUCAAUGUCAGUGAUCCCACUGAUGAACUCUUCCUGGGUAACUGCAUGCCUUGAAUGUAGAGAGAAAACAGGUUUUGAAGCCCUCAUUACUUCAUGAUACCUCUCAGGAGAGAUCCCCACCCUCUCUAUAAUCUCUUCCUCUGUCGGCUGUCUUUGAAGUUCAACCAACAACUCAAGUUUGGCUUUCUGGAUCUCUACUCUUACUGAUUCAAGACCAAACGAGACACGUGUAAAGCUCGAGAGUGUCAUUGAACGUAUUAUGGCAUGUCUAAUCCAAAAAAGACUAUAUGUUGAGAGCCGAAAUCUCCUUUUGGGUUCAAA